This 807-nucleotide long non-coding RNA is filed under the name Sus scrofa (pig). RNAcentral describes it as "lncRNA (ENSSSCG00045019763.1)". The record is from RNAcentral. Lineage: Eukaryota; Metazoa; Chordata; Mammalia; Artiodactyla; Suidae.
CCCGCGCCCGCCCGCCGGCCAGCGUGCUGCAGCCGCCGCGGCCCGGGCGGGGCCGGGGGGGGGGGUGGGUUCGCUGGUUUGGAGGGGGGGUGGGGUUGGCUGUUUCUGGAAAGCUCAGCAGAGCUAAUCUAAUCUUCCAAGGCGCGUCCGCUGCCCGAGAGCAGCGCUCACAGUCCGCAGCGCCGGGAGGGCUCCGCGGCCUCCCCCUCCCGGCUCAGUAGAUCCAGAUCGUGUGAGUCUCUUUUAUUCCCGUUUUGCACGUGAGGCCACGGAGGCCGGGAUAGACCAGGAUCGCACACGUCUUGGGGGCCUACUCCGGACUCAAACCUACGUCUCUGUGACUCCAAAACUCAUAUUAUACUAUGACCUAGUAUUUGCUGGUGUAAGACGAAUGGUUCCGUUUUAGCGCAGAUGCAAGCGCCACCUUAUUUGGAGGACAGGCAGGUAGAUCUGCAGCUGUAAAACCCGAGGCCCCGAGGCGGGCUUGCACAGCUCCCCUGGCUCUCCGUCCACGUCCACGUCUCUGCUGUCCACUGCUCCUAGAGCACCUUUCGACUCUUGAAAACAGGAACUGCCAGUUAAAAAGAAUACUACCUAUUUUAUUGAGCCUGAAGGGUUGAGGACAUCACAGACCAGAGGACGAGGCCCGGAGGGAUGGGACUUUGUCUGCUGCCCUCUCGCAUCCCGACUGGUACACCUCAGUGAACAAUCUGUAAUGGACACAGUGCAUACAGCAAGGCCCUACUGCAAACCUGUGGACGCAAAGCCUCUGAGAACCUCUCAGACACGGAAGGGGCCACAAGGCUU